GCACUGGUGGUUCAGUGGUAGAAUUCUCACCUUCCAUGUAGGAGACCUGGGUUCCAUUCCCAGCCAGUGCA
Molecule: transfer RNA, 71 nt
Filed under: Loxodonta africana (African savanna elephant)
Lineage: Eukaryota; Metazoa; Chordata; Mammalia; Proboscidea; Elephantidae
Rfam family: tRNA
About the family: Transfer RNA (tRNA) molecules are approximately 80 nucleotides in length. Their secondary structure includes four short double-helical elements and three loops (D, anti-codon, and T loops).
Source: Rfam by way of RNAcentral